CGAAGAAAGUACUGCGUGAUACGUGUGCGUCGUGAUUCGCGUCUACGUAGCCAAGCCGUUUCAUCUCAUUCUCUCUUUGCUCGACCUUCUCAGUUGACGCACCGCUCGAGUUUUGGUGCUGCUGCCGCUCUAUCGCCUACCCGAAGGCAAUUCACGACGCUCGUUCGUCAGAUGCCACGCAUCCAGCAAUUCCAGAACAUCGAUCGACAAAAAUCAUCCGGCAACACGAUGGGCGAGGAACAGCUCAAGUCCGAGGGCCAGAACAAUCAGUCCGAGAUUAAAAACGAAAACUCCUCGGGUGGCCAGCAGCAAGGUAAUCAGGGCAAUAAUUCUGGCGGAGGGCAAAACCGCGGAGGCGGCGGAGGCAGAGGUGGCCGCGCCGGUGGUCGUGGCGAUAGAAAGUCCGGUGGCAAUAGGUUCUCUGGAGGUCACGGUGGCAAUCGCGGAGGUCCCGGAGGCAACCAAGGCGGCAAUCGUGGCAAUACCAGCGGCUCCGGAGGAAACAUGAACAUGAACGACGUUCAGAUAAAAAUGAGCGAGUCAAUGAUUGAAGGAAUGCUUGAUGAGAGUAUGUUAAACCAGAGCAUGAACCAAAGAGGAGGUGGUGGAAGUGCUGGUGGAAUGAAUCAGAGAGGUGGUGCUAGACCAGGAGGACGCGGUGCUGCAGGUCGGGGUGGCCCCGGUGGACAUGAUAGAGGUAUGCCAAGUAGAUCUCAAGAUGAUAGAAUCAUGGAACGCAUCAUGUCUAUCAGUGGACCUACUCAUGAUUUGCCACCGCAAGAUAUAGAAGAGAAAAAAUUCAACAGCAGAAGUCGAUUGUAUGUUGGAAAUUUAACCAACGAUAUCACAGAGGAUGAACUACAUCAAAUGUUUGCUCCUUAUGGUGAAACUACUGAAUUGUUUUUGAACAAGGAGAAGAAUUUUGCUUUUUUGAAAGUGGAUUUUCAUGCUAAUGCUGAAAAAGCCAAACGGGAAUUGGAUGGUAGUGUUCGUAAAGGUAGAGUACUUAAAGUACGAUUCGCACCAAAUUCUUCUGUUAUUAAAGUAAAGAAUCUCACUCCUUGGGUAUCAAAUGAACUUCUUGCUCAUGCAUUUGGUGUAUUUGGAGACAUUGAACGCGCUAUUGUAAUUGUUGAUGAGAGAGGAAAAUCUACUGGUGAAGGAAUCGUUGAAUUUUCUAGAAAACCAAGUGCUCAGGCAGCUCUGCGAAAGUGCAGUGAAAGAUGUUUCUUUUUGACUGCGUCACUAAGACCAGUUGUCUGUGAACCAUUUGAACAGAAUGAUGAUAUUGAUGGAUAUCCUGACAAGAACUUGCCCAAAAAGCAUACUGAUUUUUACAAAGCCCGCGAACAAGGUCCACGAUUUGCUUCCAUAGGUAGCUUUGAGCAUGAGUAUGGUACAAGGUGGAAGCAGUUACAUGAAUUAUACAAACAAAAAGAAGAUGCCCUGAAACGUGAAAUGAUGAUGGAAGAAGAAAAAUUAGAAGCUCAAAUGGAAUUUGCUCGAAACGAACAUGAGACUGAAAUCCUUAGAGAACAAUUGCGUGUACGCGAAGCCGAUCGUGAAAGGAAGAAGAGAGAAUGGGAAAUGAAAGAAAGACAAGCAGAAGAACAAAGGACGCGCGAGGAAGAACUCAGAAGAAGGCAGCAAGAAGAAAUGGCCGUGCGAAUUAGACGUCAAGAAGAAGAGCUUCAUAGGAGACAACAGGAAAAUAAUCUUUUCAUGCAGGAACAAGCUAUGCGUGGCGGAGUUCCUGGACCAAAUAAAAAUUUCGAUAACAUGCCACCAGAACGUGAUGGAUAUCCUCCAGUAGAUGGAAACAACAUGCCAGUGAUUCGAGUUUACAAUAAUAUGUAUUGAAGGUACUCAUGGCAAAAAUUAUGAAAUGAACAAAAUGCAGUUUAGCUGCAAAAUGCCAAAUGAAAAUGAACGUAACUUCUCUUAAAAGCUGACUGGUCAUACUUGAUUUAGUAGGACAGUCGGACCUGAAACACCAAAAAAAUGAAGUCAAUUCAUGAUUCCUACCUAGUGCAAAUAAUUUCAUUCUU
RNAcentral lists this unclassified non-coding RNA (2048 nucleotides) under Trichogramma pretiosum. RNAcentral describes it as "hrp65 protein-like, transcript variant X1". Lineage: Eukaryota; Metazoa; Arthropoda; Insecta; Hymenoptera; Trichogrammatidae. The record is from RNAcentral.